RNAcentral lists this ribosomal RNA (974 nucleotides) under uncultured bacterium. RNAcentral's name for it is "bacterial SSU rRNA". It matches the Rfam family "Bacterial small subunit ribosomal RNA", at positions 8 to 975 of the family's 1533-position model. The record is from RNAcentral.
AGAGUUUGAUCCUGGCUCAGAUUGAACGCUGGCGGCAUGCCUAACACAUGCAAGUCGAACGGCAGCGCGGGUAGCAAUACCUGGCGGCGAGUGGCGGACGGGUGAGUAAUGCAUCGGGAUCUACCCUGACGUGGGGGAUAACCUCGGGAAACCGGGACUAAUACCGCAUACGUCCUACGGGAGAAAGCGGGGGACCUUCGGGCCUCGCGCGGCAGGACGAACCGAUGUGCGAUUAGCUAGUUGGCGGGGUAAUGGCCCACCAAGGCGACGAUCGCUAGCUGGUCUGAGAGGAUGAUCAGCCACACUGGGACUGAGACACGGCCCAGACUCCUACGGGAGGCAGCAGUGGGGAAUAUUGGACAAUGGGCGCAAGCCUGAUCCAGCAAUGCCGCGUGUGAAGAAGGCCUUCGGGUUGUAAAGCACUUUUAUCAGGAGCGAAAUACUACGGGUUAAUAACCCGUGGGGCUGACGGUACCUGAGGAAUAAGCACCGGCUAACUUCGUGCCAGCAGCCGCGGUAAUACGAAGGGUGCAAGCGUUAAUCGGAAUUACUGGGCGUAAAGGGUGCGUAGGCGGUUCGUUAAGUCUGUCGUGAAAUCCCCGGGCUCAACCUGGGAAUGGCGAUGGAUACUGGCGAGCUAGAGCGUGUCAGAGGAUGGUGGAAUUCCCGGUGUAGCGGUGAAAUGCGUAGAGAUCGGGAGGAACAUCAGUGGCGAAGGCGGCCAUCUGGGACAACACUGACGCUGAAGCACGAAAGCGUGGGGAGCAAACAGGAUUAGAUACCCUGGUAGUCCACGCCCUAAACGAUGCGAACUGGAUGUUGGUCUCAACUCGGAGAUCAGUGUCGAAGCUAACGCGUUAAGUUCGCCGCCUGGGGAGUACGGUCGCAAGACUGAAACUCAAGGGAAUUGACGGGGGCCCGCACAAGCGGUGGAGUAUGUGGUUUAAUUCGAUGCAACGCGGAAGAACCUUACC